Meleagris gallopavo (turkey) is the source of this 1822-nucleotide non-coding RNA. Lineage: Eukaryota; Metazoa; Chordata; Aves; Galliformes; Phasianidae. The record is from RefSeq and is a predicted model, not a curated record.
AUCUAACAAGCUUUCAUUUAAAUCUGUCAGGUUCUAUUACAGUCAAGGUACCUGCAUCUCUCAAAGCCUACUUAGAGUUGUCUGGAAGAAAAGUGGAUGUGAGCUCAGAGAUCGAGUUAAAAGAAACACGGAGUGCCUCCAAAGAUGAUCACGUAAUUUUAAGUGGUCACAUGAAUCAAAGGAAUGAAAAAGACAAAUGGAUUAAAGCUGACACACAAAGUGGCAAAGUGUAUCUUAAAAGCCAAAGCUGGAUUCAGUCUGUCAAACUGAAGAUUUCUUAAAGGCGAAACAGUCAAAACAAUCCAGUCAAGAAACUGUAAAGGAAUAUUUUCUCUGGAAUUAUGAAACUUUGUUGAUACAUAUUCUUAAUGUAAGAGAGAAACGAUAUUAAAAAUGAGGACUUUUUAACCCAAGAUUUGCUGGUGACAGUGGCUGGUGAUUAAUGGGUCUGGUUUACUUUUUGUGCCUUUUAGGAACUACAAGGCCUUACAUAUGCAGAAUUUGUAUGACCUGACCCACUCACCAAAUCAGUCUUAAAAGCUGGUAACUUUCAAACAAAAUAAGAAAAUUAGAAAUAAAACCAACACUUUCACCUCCUGGUCUUUGGAAACAUGAAAAUUUACUUCCAAGGAGCUGUGCUCUGCCACCUAUUUUGUAUUUUUUAGCAAAAUAUCUUUCUACUGUGCGACUUUCUUGUUUAUGCAAAACAUAGAAUUCUUUCUUCAGUCAGAUUAUGUGUAUUGUGGACAGGAUAAAACCACUUUCAAACUGUAAUUCAUCACCGGUUUAUCUGUUUUUUCUUUAACCCCUCUGAGCUGUUUCUGCUUUGUCAGCAGGCACUGUAUGUGUAAAACUGCUUCUACGAAACAGAAGCAUGUUCCAUGUUGUCCUGAACCACUUCCUUGUGGACUGAUUCAGCAACUCGAUGUAUGCUGCAGUUUUUUCUACAAAGAAAAGCUUUUAAUAUAAAUAAUCCAAAGUGCAACAGGUAUGGCUGAUUUCAAGAAAGAAACACUCCACCAAUCAGGAUGUUGGAUAGGAGUCCAUAUGAAUGUUCCCCAAAGUAAAAGCUACUGAGCUAAUAAAUGAGAACUGUAAUCUCCUUACUACAUUUCCAUUUAUCAUCAGCCUUGCAUGACAGGACUGUCAGCUCAUGGAGGCAGAAUGACAGAGGAGGAAGGAAGGCGAGGGAAGUUUAUGCACCCUGCACAAGAGACAGUGAUUUUUGUGGAGGAUUUUGUUUAGUGGAGGCACACUAAACUAAAAAGAGCUUUUAAAAGCCUUUCUGUUUAUAUAUGGCCCCUUAUAACAGAAGUACUGAAGUUUGUGUUUUACAGCUGAAAUGCAGGACUACCUGCCAACUGAGUGAUGGAGAGAAGAAAUGAAGAGUUCGGAAUGUCAGUUCAGGUUUUAAAUUAUGUAUAUGUGUUUGUAGACCAUAACAUUAUAAAAUGAGGUUCCCCAAGGCUAUUAGUUGCCCAUCGCUAAUGUUCUGCAGCAAUCAAGGGCAGUUUUUUACUUUGAGAGUGGUUAAAAAUUCCACAUUGUUUCCCAUUGUGUGUUCAGUUUGUUCUGUUGUCUAUGGCAAAUUAUAUGUAUAUAUAUAUUUAAUACACUAGUAUAUAAAACAGUAAUGUCACUACUAAAAGGAAUAUAAUAUUACUAAAUAUUAUUAUACUGUUAAAAGAUAUACAGUUGUAAUGGUUUCCUCAAAAGUUUUGAAACUAAUAGUUUCUGAGCUGCAGACACAAAGUGAAAGAAGAAAGAAGUACUCCUAAAUUGUUGUAUCUGCAAAUAAAAUAUGUAGUAGAUAUUUCACAGA